GUGACCUCAAAUCAGGUAGGACUACCCGCUGAACUUAAGCAUAUCAAUAAGCGGAGGAAAAGAAACUAACAAGGAUUCCCCUAGUAACUGCGAGUGAAGCGGGAAAAGCUCAAAUUUAAAAUCUGACAGUCUUUGGCUGUCCGAGUUGUAAUCUAGAGAAGUGUUAUCCGCGCUGGACCGUGUACAAGUCUCCUGGAAUGGAGCGUCAUAGAGGGUGAGAAUCCCGUCUUUGACACGGACUACCAGGGCUUUGUGAUGCGCUCUCAAAGAGUCGAGUUGUUUGGGAAUGCAGCUCAAAAUGGGUGGUAAAUUCCAUCUAAAGCUAAAUAUUGGCGAGAGACCGAUAGCGAACAAGUACCGUGAGGGAAAGAUGAAAAGAACUUUGGAAAGAGAGUUAAACAGUACGUGAAAUUGCUGAAAGGGAAACGCUUGAAGUCAGUCGCGUUGUCCAGGGAUCAACCUUGCUUUUGCUUGGUGCACUUUCUGGUUGACGGGUCAGCAUCAAUUUUGACCAUUGGAAAAAGAUUAAGGGAAUGUGGCAUCUUUGGAUGUGUUAUAGCCCUUGGUUGCAUACGAUGGUUGGGAUUGAGGAACUCAGCACGCCGCAAGGCCGGGUU
This 617-nucleotide ribosomal RNA is filed under the name Cortinarius cf. semisanguineus F15580. RNAcentral describes it as "eukaryotic LSU rRNA". It matches the Rfam family "Eukaryotic large subunit ribosomal RNA", at positions 1 to 617 of the family's 3401-position model. Lineage: Eukaryota; Fungi; Basidiomycota; Agaricomycetes; Agaricales; Cortinariaceae. The record is from RNAcentral.